Molecule: long non-coding RNA, 1046 nt
Filed under: Olea europaea (common olive)
Lineage: Eukaryota; Viridiplantae; Streptophyta; Magnoliopsida; Lamiales; Oleaceae
Description: long non-coding RNA (OEUR_LNC001591)
Source: RNAcentral
AAAAAAAAACCCACACAAUCACCGGACCUCCUUCAAGGGAUAACCCCACAUCGAAUAAAUAUAAAAAUAAUAAAUAAUAUAAGAACUUGGGCGACUCCUCUAGACAAGGUUGAUGUUUUAAGAAAGAACUCAAGCUUCGAUAUCGUACCAGAGCUCAAGACAAGCAAUUCGUCCAUGUAAAGCUUAAACCAAAACUCAAAUUCCAAGAUUUAUACGAGGACUUGGGCUACUUCCUAUUAACAAGAUGGAACCAAAGCCUUAAUACACCUGACUAGGGCUGGGCAAAUCUCCCGAAUUGAACCGACUGAACGAACCCGAACCCGAACCGAACCGAACCCGACGGUUCUUGUCAAAUUAAAUACCCGAACGGAUAUCUGAAUUGAGAACCGACAGGUACGCUUCGGUUCUCGGUUCUAGACCAAGAACCGAAUCUUUCUAAUUUUUUUUAUAUUGAAUAAAUCAAAUUAUUUUAAUUUUUUCUAAACAAAUUAACAAAUUAACAAUUUCUAAAUCCAAAAUUUUGGCCCAAUUACCCCAUUUUAUUGUCUCAUUUCUUAGCCCAACACGAUCUAACCCACUAAAUAACCCUAAACACCUACACUAAAGUGCAUAACGCUGUCUCGACUCUCGCAGCCUCGCUGACAUUCCAAAACCUAUACAAUUGUCGAUUGACGCUGUGACCUCCGAUCGAAGCUGUGACCUCCGCUAAUCAAAAUUUUGACCGUAGCGAUCAUUUGAACAAGGUAGUCUAGUAGUCUCUGACAUUUCAAAACCAUUGAAUAUGUCAUUAGUUGUAUUUAUGUAAUGUUGUUAUAAAUGUUAAAAAAAUUUAAUUCUAGUACAUAACCGAACGGAACGGAAUAGAACCCGAACGGUUCCAUAAUUAUAUUUGGACCUGACGGUUCUAUUUACUAAAUACCCGAAAAUUUUGGUUCGGUUCGGUUCUCUUUAGAACCGAACCGAAUCGACUCGCACCCACCCCUACACCUGACAAUCGGGUCCCAAAUUCAUGCAUUCGUUCAACCGUAUGUGCCUUGGCAUUUCUC